UACGAAGGGGCUAGCGUUGUUCGGAGUUACUGGGCGUAAAGGGCGCGUAGGCGGCGCACCAAGUCAGGCGUGAAAGCCCUGGGCUCAACCCGGGAAUUGCGCCUGAGACUGGUGUGCUUGAGUACGGGAGAGGAUAGUGGAAUUCCCAGUGUAGAGGUGAAAUUCGUAGAUAUUGGAAGAACACCGGUGGCGAAGGCGGUCUCUGGCCGAUACUGACGCUGAGGAGCGAAAGCGUGGGAGCGAACAGG
RNAcentral lists this ribosomal RNA (248 nucleotides) under uncultured bacterium. Its description in RNAcentral is "partial 16S ribosomal RNA". It matches the Rfam family "Bacterial small subunit ribosomal RNA", at positions 524 to 776 of the family's 1533-position model. The record is from RNAcentral.